This 652-nucleotide long non-coding RNA is filed under the name Populus tremula. RNAcentral's name for it is "long non-coding RNA (PTRE_LNC002760)". Lineage: Eukaryota; Viridiplantae; Streptophyta; Magnoliopsida; Malpighiales; Salicaceae. The record is from RNAcentral.
CAGAGUUCUUAGAAACAUUUUCUGACUAACAACGCCCAUGAUAAUGUAGCCAUAUUCAAUGUUAGACCCAAAUAAGCAAUGGAAUGUCACGGCAACAAAAUCUUGGGCAAUACUAUUUUUAUAUCCAUGUAAUGUCGGGUUUCUCAUAUUUAAUUUCUGUCAGGGAUAUGGGCAGUGAAUCCGCCUCAUGGUGGUGGUUGCGGUCCGGUUUAUCGUUCUUGAUGAUGCAGGGGGGGUGGCUUGCGGGCACCUGCCGCCCAGCCAUGUAGCACUGUUAACGUUUUUUUUUUCUUUCUGGGAAAGCAGUGUUACAACUCACAGAUAGCAGCUAAAAUUUACUCCAGCAAAAACUGCAGCGGGCGGUGCUUUUCCCAAGAGCGGUUUCCGGCCAAUCAACACCUCAAUUGUAAGACUAACUUAUUGGAUCACCUUGUGGUUUGAAAUAGUUGAGCUUUGUCAGUGAUGGAGUUCACCACAAGCCCACAGUGAUCAGGUCUUUUUCAAGGCUGGUAGGUGGGCUGAACGGCUGACAUGGAGAACUUGGGUGGCAUUAGGAUGUUCAUUUGAGAAAUCUCUCCCUCUCUCUUUUUCCAGCGGCUAGAUUUUUGUGGAUCUUUUAAUUUUACGUACAUUUUUCUUAUUCAAAUCUAUC